AUAGCCGUUCAACUGCCUCAUAGAUGUCUUCGCUUUUCCCAUCAUCUACAUGUUACAGGACAACUCCCAGCAAGGCUGCUUGUCAGGUCUUCUGUGAUAUAAACAAGUAAGGUAACUUUCCAAGCACAGGAAGGGAGCAAGAGUUGAUUUAUUCAAGAUCAGUAUGUUUAAAACUAUAAAAGUAGAGUGUGCGCCCUGAUAUGGUUUAGAGUUAGGUUGAGAAUGUCUUUCCAGGAGGCCCU
RNAcentral lists this long non-coding RNA (242 nucleotides) under Fukomys damarensis (Damara mole-rat). Its description in RNAcentral is "lncRNA (ENSFDAG00000023355.1)". The record is from RNAcentral. Lineage: Eukaryota; Metazoa; Chordata; Mammalia; Rodentia; Bathyergidae.